This 1063-nucleotide long non-coding RNA is filed under the name Equus caballus (horse). RNAcentral describes it as "lncRNA (ENSECAG00000045498.1)". The record is from RNAcentral. Lineage: Eukaryota; Metazoa; Chordata; Mammalia; Perissodactyla; Equidae.
AAAGCUACUGUCGUCUGUUGGUGGGGAACCACACUUGGAGAACGCUGAUCUAAGCCAUAGACAGCGGAAAACCAGUCUCGAACAGAAGAUAAAGAAGGGAGUUAAAACUAGAUGAAAUUGCAGAGGCACUCGUUCGGUGAAACCUAGGUGAGAAACUACAUCUUUAUUUCUGACUGAAGGAGGAGGUGGAGUCUUCAGCCAGGAGCGAAGAUUAGCCCUGAGCUAACAUCUACCACUAAUCCUCCUCUUUUUGCUGAGGAAGACUGGCCCUGAGCUAACAUCCGUGCCCAUCUUCCUCUACUUUGUAUGUGGGAUGCCUGCCACAGCAUGGCUUGACAAGUGAUGCUAGGUCUGCACCCAGGAUCUGAACUGGCAAACCCUGGGCCACCAAAAUGGAGAGUGUGAACUUAAUCGCUGCACCACGGAGCUGGCCCCUAUGUGUGACUUUUUGAGGACCGCUGGUGGGCUGGUUCUCAAUUCUAUCAGUCAGUGUGCAGAGCCGACUCUUCCCUGGAGCCCCCACCAACAUCUUGAAUUUUGUCUGCUCGAGAAAUUAACCAAUCUACAGACAAUCUCUAAGUUUCCUUCUCGCUAACAGGGAAACUUUCUGUCUCCGCAACAAUUCUCUUUCCAAAGAGCUGUUUAAAGGAACAGAUCUAAAGAAGAAAUGAGUGACCUGGAAAAUUCACAACUAGGACAGUUCAGAAUAACUUGCCUAUGCAAUGAACAGAGAUUUUUCAUACCUCUUCUGGUACACCCUAGUUAUUUCUAGAAGGGAAGAUGAUCAAACUAAAGACAAACAAAAAGCUCUCGAGUGAAAACAAACAAAAAUCUUGCCAGAUGCCUUUGAGCCAGACGCUGCUCAGCAAGACUUCUCUGCUGCCUGCCUGAGAGCAUUGGAGCAUUGGAGCAUCGGAGCAUCGGAGCAUCAGAGCAUCAGAGCAUCUGGGAGAGCUGCUGCUCAGGUGAGCCCCCAGGAUGACUGGGAAGCACUUCAGAGCUGGCUGCCCCCAACAACAGGCCUCGCUUCCCUUGACCCCUCUUUCCCCUUUGCACCCUCACC